RNAcentral lists this microRNA (23 nucleotides) under Mus musculus (house mouse). RNAcentral describes it as "mmu-miR-344c-5p". Its record names the gene mmu-miR-344c-5p. Lineage: Eukaryota; Metazoa; Chordata; Mammalia; Rodentia; Muridae. The record is from miRBase by way of RNAcentral.
AGUCAGGCUGCUGGCUAGAGUAC